GCCGCUGUAGCUCAGUUGGUAGAGCAGGGGACUGAAAAUCCCCGUGUCCGCAGUUCGAUUCUGCGCGGCGGCA
RNAcentral lists this transfer RNA (73 nucleotides) under Winmispira thermophila DSM 6192. RNAcentral describes it as "tRNA-Phe (GAA) (tRNA-Phe-GAA-1-1)". It matches the Rfam family "tRNA". Rfam says of the family: Transfer RNA (tRNA) molecules are approximately 80 nucleotides in length. Their secondary structure includes four short double-helical elements and three loops (D, anti-codon, and T loops). RNAcentral also lists the same sequence under 1 other name. The record is from RNAcentral. Lineage: Bacteria; Pseudomonadati; Spirochaetota; Spirochaetia; Winmispirales; Winmispiraceae.